CACGGCAUCCUGAACACGCAGGACAGGGACGGCAACACGGCUCUCCAUCUGGCGGUGGCCGCACGCGCGCCGGCCGUGGCAGAGGCCCUGAUGUGGAAGGGGAAAGUGCAAGCGGACGUCAUGAACAAGGACGGGCAGACGCCGCUGGAUUUCGCCGCGAAAUCCACCAGUUUCUUCUCCAUGGUAAGUCUGGUGGCGACACUGGCUGCAUUCGGCGCGCAGUCAAAUCCUCAAAGGCGGGACCAUGUCCAGCAAUGGAACAGCCAUGACAUAACAAAGGCGAUAGAGAAGACGUCCGACAGCCUCGCGGUGAUCGCCGUUCUCGUUGCUGGCGUCGCCUUCACCGCGGCCAACAGCAUACCCGGCUCAUACGAGCAAGAGGGCGAUACAAUAGGGAUGGCGGUCCUCCAGAAGAAAACCGUCUUCAAAUGCUUCCUUAUCCUCGACACCUUCGCCCUGGUGACCUCCGUGCUCGCCGUGGUCCUGCUCGUCUACGGCAAGGCGUCACGCUCCGCCGUGUCGUGGAAAACCUUCACGGUAGCGCUGCACUGCCUGUGGGUGUCCCUGAUCAGCAUGGUCCUGGCAUUCUACGCGGCUCUGGCAGCCGUCACGAGGACGAGGGCAGUCCACGACAUCGCCUUCAACAUCAUAAACUCUGGCCUCUUCCUGAUGUUAGGUGUGGUCUCGCUUUUGGUCAGCCCUCACGUGUCGUUCCGCACACUGUGGAAGUACCUGUGGCGGCAAUGUGGCUUGAAAGGACGUCAAGCUUCCAUCCGUAGGCGUAUCAAGCAGCAAUAUCCAGUCGUUGGUGCUUUCGUGCGCAACCUCAUUCUGUUCAGGGUUGCAAAUUAUGUUCUUCUCCUUGUGGGCCUCGGCAUAGUCUCCACAUUUGGUCUCUCAAAAGUUGGGUAACCAUCGCUAUGGGAAGAACAUGGCAAUGCGGAGUGUCGGGCUAUUUGGAGUAAAUUGCAAAAAGCCACCAUAAUUGAGGACCCUAAUUCAAAAAACCGCCACCAUUCAUUUUUUUUCAAAAACCCACCAUUAUUGUACUGACAGUUUGCAAAAAACACUGAUCACACCGUUAAAUAAGUUUAAGUGAAAACCUGACGGGGUGGACCCGCUGUCAGGUGCCAUGUGGCUGGGGUAAAUGGAUGAAACAAACGGACGUUAUACGACCGGUCAAACCCCCUGCUCUGCCUCCUUGGCAUUUUGCCAAACAGGUAGCGGGCGUGCUAGAGUGGCAGCCCGGUGCAUCUCGUCGGCCGCCCUCGUCUCCGGCAGCCGCCGUCCCGGCGCGCCACCACCCGUCGAUGGCUUGGGGAUUCCAUUGGACUGCAUCGUGGAUUGGUCUUCGAGCAAGUACACGUGAAUGAGCAAAUAAAUGUCCGUGCAAACUUUGCCUCGGAAGCACUGAUUCCGGCACGAAGCCGACGCCGCCUAAGCUGGCGAGGCCGAGCUCCAGCGAGCCUACGAACCUGACCGCUCCGGCGAGUACAAUAUCCUGCACGCCGCGCCCCAUCCCGCUCCGGCGAGGCCGAGCUACAGCGCGCCCGCUCCCCUACCUGCUCGGCGAGGCGGAGCUAGAUUUGGUCGGGAGGUAGAGCACCAGACCUCGCCGCCUCCCCCAGCUGCUUCGCAUCAACGCCCCGGUGCCACAGGGCAUCUUCACAACGAGCCCCGCAACCUCCUACUACCUCCUGUCAUCGCCUUGCUCCGGCAGCAACCGCCGCGCGCCGCCAUCGCGGACUCGCCCUCCCCUGCCACCCCCGCGUCGACUACAAGCUCCUGGUGAGCUCCGCCUUCCCCUUCUCACGCUCUCCUAGCAAGCACCCAUGGCUGGGUCGACGACGGCGAGGGCGCCGGUGCGUCCGUGUCGAGUGCGUUGGAGUUGACCAGAGGAGGAAGAGGAACGGGAGUGAGAAUGACGGGCGGCCCCUACUCCAGCCUAAUAUUUGAGCCAAACGGGGUGAGUUGUUUUCAUGCCGCGUCAUCAUUUAUAGAGGGACCUAGCUGUCAGUUUUUCAUCAAGCAGCUCUAAUUGACCCAUCAGUGUUUUUUGCAAACUGUCAGUACAAUAACGGUGGGGUUUAAAAAAAACGAAUAGUGGUGGUUUUCUGAAUUAGCGUCCCCAAUUGUGGUGGGUUUUUGCAAUUUACUCGGCUAUUUGUCGUGUGUAUUUUAUCAGACACUUGGCAAACAAGCUCUUUGCAGAAUGUAUCAGAGACAACACGAGGCAAGGGCUUUGCCAAGUGUUCUUUAUACGACACUCGAUAAAUAAAUAAUUCCAAAGCAAUAUCAGUUUUGCUAAGUCUCAGUCGACGAAGACUUUGUUAUAUCUCAGUCGAUGUUAUUCCUCUGAUCUUGAUCUUGCAUGAAGAUCCGUACAUAAUGUAUCGGAGACAAUACGGAACACUCGGCCGGUCGCACACGCGCUCCAUCGCUCCAUCUUGUGUGUAGCGAUUCGUGCAAACACCCCAACCACAAUCACGCAGCUGGAUGGCCCCACGACCAAACAGAGUUAGCCUUAUCUCUUUCAGCCGUUGCUCCUUUUCCUUCUCCAUGAGGACGGCAGCACAGGGCAGCCGGCCAGUGAUGACAGGUAUGCCGUGCGCUGUAUGCUUGAUUCCCUCUUCCCUUCUCCCUCAAGCUCAUUUGAUUGCACCAUAGCAUCAAUCUUCUCCCUCAAGCUCGACGCUUCGUGAUCUCUCUUCAUUUUUUACUUAGUCUUCUUGUCGUCAUCGGGCUUGUUCAAAUUUCUUGGGCCAUCACUAUCCUCAUCUUCAUCCAAGUUUGUAAAGUGAACCUCUCUUCGGUACAAGAGCUUGCUGUCUUCCCGGAACUCGGCUCCUUCCUCGUCCAGCUCGCGCAGGACUGCGGAGAUGAGGGCACCUUGUGGUGCAAGGACGAGGCCCGGGACACAGCCCUUCAUCUGGCGGCGAGGCUCGACCAUGGCGCGGCAGUUGAGGCAAUGGUCUCCGUGGUGCCCGACCUUGCCUCAGAGGUUAACGACGCGGGCGUGUUGCCGCUGUACUUGGCCGUGAUGAGCAGGUCGAUGCGAGCCGUCAAAGUUAUAACGACCAGGUGCGGCGACGCGUCGGCUGCCGGGCCGAGCUCGCAGAACGCUCUGCACGCCGCCGUCUUCCAGGGCUCAGGUCAGCUUGGCAGCUAGCUCCUCCUUGAUCCGUGUGGAUCCUAAAAAUACAUGCAUAAUUGUUAAUCCUCGCAUUGCUCAAUGUGAACAUUUUCAGAAAUGGUCAGGCUGCUACUCGACUGGAAGCCGUGUGGCUCAUCCCUCGCUAGCCAAGCCGAUGGCACCGGCAGUACUCCCCUGCAUUUCGCUUCGUCCGACGGUGACCUCUCCAUCGUACGUGUCAUCCUGAGCGCCGUGCCGCCCUCCGCGGUGCACACGCGGGACUCUGACGGCCUCUCUGCUCUCCACGUCGCGGCAGGGAUGGGCCACGUCCGCGUUGCCGAGGCGCUGAUGAAUGUUAGUAGUAAUCUUGAUUAGACUAGUUGUUAGUUGCAUGCAUAGGUUAGUGCAGCAGGUGCCGUUGUGAUUUGUUGUAGGCUGGCCGCGUCGUGCGUGGCCGGAGCCUGUGGAUCAAUGAGCUGAAUGUGGCGUGCAUGUAGUUAGCUGGUUGUUAGCUACAUGGACGGCCGGGUCGUGUGUGCGUGGGUGCGUGGGUGCUGCGUCACCGGACGGUUAUAAAGCCAGGCAUGAUCAGAGUCUAUAGAGAAGCUGUGUUGUAAGCCAUGUAGCCGGUGCAGAGUUCGUGUUCUGGGGAAAGAAAGCCGUUUGUGCGGCAGUGGCUUACGUGCACCAGGAAAAUCCACCCGUGCCCGGUGUCUCCUUCUUCCUUCUUCUUGUUUCGUUCGAGUGAACCAGAGAGAUUGGAGAGAGAGAGCGAGGAGAGGGCAAGAGGAAGGCCACGGAAAAGCAUUGGGGGCUAAAAGAGUUAGAGCUCUCAGGGAGGAGCUUUACUUGGUCUAAUAACCAGGACGAUCCCUUGUAUGUAAAACUAGAUAGGAUUCUUGUUAGCCCAUCUUGGGAACAACAUUUUCCUUUAGUUACGGUCAGGACACUCGUUAGAGGUGUCUCUGAUCAUGCUGCUCUUUUGGUACAUACUGGAAUUGUAAAUGCUGUAGCUACCAGGCCUUUUAAAUUUGAGCUAUGCUGGCUUCUCAGAGAUGAGUUGCCGGCCGUUGUUUCUAGAAUUUGGAAAUCUAUCGCUCCUAAAAAAAACAGCCUGGAUUGGUGGCAGGCUAUUAUGAGAAAAUUAAGAAGCGGGCUCAAGGGUUGGAACCUUAAUGUUGAGGGUAGUUACAGGAAAAAGAAGAGUUUUAUUAUUAAUGCUUUAGAUAUACUUGAUAAGAAGUGUGAGCUUGUUGGUGUAUCAGCAGCUGACUAUGUGCAUAUAAAUAGUCUGCAAAAUGAUUUGAAUAAAAUUCUUAGAGAGGAAGAAAUAAAAUGGUAUCAACGCUCGAAGGAGAGGGAUAUCAAAGAAGGGGAUAGCAACACUAAGUAUUUUAUGAUUAAGGCUAGUGGUCGGAAGCGUAAGAGUAAAAUCUUUCGACUUAUCCAGGAUGAAGGGAUCAUCCAGGGGGAUGAUAACUUGCUCAAAUAUGCAACUAAUUUUUAUAAAGAUUUAUUUGGCCAUGUAGAUUUACCUCCUACAUCUCUGUGUAUCCCUCUUGAUGAUGUGUUGUCAGAAGAGGAUAAGGUUGAGCUCAGUUGCAAAUUUACUAUGGAUGAAGUUAAAAAUGCGUUAUUUUCUAUGAAGCGCAACAGUGCGGCUGGCCCGGACGGCUUUCCUGCCGAGUUCUUUCAAUUUUUCUGGAACCUCAUUUGUAACGAUCUCCUUAGGCUUUUUCAUGACUUUUAUGAGGGCAAGAUUAACAUUUCAAGGCUUAACUAUGGGGUAGUCACUUUGCUUGCUAAGGGGCAGGGGGCUGAUAGGAUUCAAAUGUACCGCCCCAUCUGUAUGCUGAACGUUCCUUUUAAAAUUUUUACAAAAGUUCUUAACAAUAGAGCUAUGAAAAUUGCGGAUAAAACAAUUUCCAAAGCUCAAUCUGCGUUUAUAAAAGGGCGCUACAUCCUGGACAAUGUACUUAUGCUUCAUGAAGCUAUCCACUCUUUACAUAGAAAAAAAUGUUCUGCUGUGCUUUUUAAGGUUGAUUUCGAAAAAGCUUACGAUAAAAUUAAUUGGAGUUUCAUGCUUGAUGUCCUAAAGAUGAAAGGCUUCCCUGAACGUUUUGUCCAAUGGACAAAAGAUGUCGUUAGUAAUGGAAAGGUUGCCAUCACUAUUAAUGAUGUUAUCGGCCCGUAUUUUGUUACUAGGAAGGGUUUGAGGCAAGGGGACCCGUUUUCCCCCUUGCUUUUCAAUUUGGCAGCUGAUGUUCUUGCUACCCUGGUGCAAAGGGCGCAAGAACAAGGAUUUAUCAAGGGAGUGUUGCCUAGGGUGUAUGCAGGAGGUCUAAAUAUUUUGCAAUAUGCGGACGAUACUAUUUUCUGUUUUGAAGAUGACCUUGAGGGGGCUAGGAACCUCAAAAUUAUUCUAUGUGUUUUUGAGCAUUUGACCGGUCUGAAGAUUAAUUUUUUAAAGAGUGAAAUUUUCUGUUUCGGUAAAGCUUUGGAGAAACAAGCUGAUUAUGCCGGCAUUUUUACUUGCGCUAUUGGGGGCUUCCCUUUUAGGUAUUUAGGUCUUCCCCUUCAUUAUAAAAAACUUUGUAAUGCGGAUUGGAAAUCAGCGGAAGAAAAAGUAGAGAAAGGAGCUGCAGCGUGGCAAGGGGGUCUUUUAUCUAUGGGCGGUAGGCUUAUACGCACUGAAACUUGCUUGAGUAACAUCAUUAGCCAUUUACUUAACUUUUUCCGUCUACCAAAAGGAGUAGGAAAAAGAAUCAAUUUCUUUCGAGCGCGGGUGCUUUGGCAAGAAAGAGAGGGGGUUAGGAAGUAUCAUCUAGUUAACUGGCUUGACGUUUGUCAACCUAGAGACCAAGGGGGGUUGGGUGUUACUAAUCUAGAUAUCAAGAAUAUUAGUCUUUUGUGUAAGUGGCUCUGGAGACUUGAGAAUGAAGAUGGGGAUUGGCAGGAGAUGAUUAGAGCAAAGUAUUUGAAGAGGAAAACUCUGUCUCAAUGUGAGUCAUCUCCUGCCAACUCUCAUUUCUGGAAUGGUAUCAUGAGUGUUAAAGAUAUCUUUUACAACUGUUGUCAGAGAAUUGUUGGGGAUGGGCAUAAAACUAGAUUUUGGGAAGAUGCUUGGAUCCACAACAAGCCUCUCUGUCAACUUUUUCCUCGCUUGUACAAGCUUACUUUUCAUCAAAACAUUACGGUUGCUAAAGCAUUUGAACAUGAUUUUAACUGCAUUAGAUUUAGGAGAUGUUUAUAUGGGGAGACACUGGAUAUGUGGAAUAAGCUUCUGGAUAUGUGCAGUCAGGUUGUUCUGAGUGAGGAACCUGACAAAGUCAACUGGCUUUUGACUAGCUCUGGUCAGUUCUCUGUUAAAUCUCUUUAUCAAUAUAUUAUUGCAAAGAGAGUAGUGUUCCCUUUUAAGUUUCUUUGGAAACUGAAGGUACCUUUGAAAAUUAAAGCUUUUAUAUGGUUAGUUAUCAAAGGAAGGAUCCUGACCAAGGACAACUUGUGUAAAAAAGGCUGGAAAGGCACCAACAAAUGUGAAUUUUGUGAUGCCAAUGAAUAUAUUGAUCAUCUGUUUUUCACUUGUUCUCUUGCUCGGUUUCUUUGGAAUGUAGUUGGGAGUGCUUUGGGAAAUCCCCAAACACCCCUGUCAUUCUUUGACCUUUGCCAGAAUUGGCUUCCUAAGUAUACUGGGAAAGAUAGAAUGGUUAUAGCUAUUGGUACGACUGCUUUGUUAUGGUCGAUCUGGAAAGCAAGAAAUAAAUCCUGCUUUCAAAGUUCUUUACCUAGGGAUCCUACUGAUAUUAUCGUCUCUUUAUGUUAUAUGUUGGAUUCCUGGGGUGUGCUACAGAAAAGAGGGGUGGAAAAAACUCUUAAGGAAGUGACCAAGAGGUUGGCCCAGAUAGCGAGGGACGUCUUCAAGCGUGCUUACGGAUGGGGCCCAGCUGUACGGAGGCUCUGUUGAUCAAGUGUUGACAGAUGCAGCAUUUACGAUUAUCUCUCUUGUUCUUUUGAUAUAGCACCUUGUAGGUGCAGAUUUUGGUAUCUCAGAUGUAGGAGUUUAUUUCCCCUGAUGCAAAAUAUUAGGCAACAUUUGUAGCGAUGAUGCUUUGGAGCGUUCUUCUGUUGUAGCAUCCUGUAGGUGCGGUUGAAGUGCCUCUAGAUGUAUGAGUAGUGUUUCCUGAUGCAGAUGUUAGGCAUCGAAAAAUGUUAAAUUUGUAUGGAACUUGCUUUGUAUGUUGUGACUCCAUUUUCGUAAUGAAAAUGGGGGCCAUGGGGCCCCUCUGAUCGAAAAAAAAGGCCACGGAAACAACAAUGAAAGCAUGCCCCGACGCCGCCGAGCUGAGGGACGACCGCGGCGGAACCUUCAUGCACGCCGCGACCAGGGGAGCCACGGCAAGGUCGUGUCGCUGGCCAUCAAGAAAACGAAGCUGCGCGGCAUCCUGAACACGCAAGAUGGGGAUGGCAACACACCUCUCCACCUGGCGGUGGCCGCACGCGCGCCGGCCGUGGCGGAGGCCCUGAUGUCGAAGGGGAAAGUGUGAGCCGAUGUCAUGAACAAGGAGGGGCAGACGCCAUUGGAUCUCGCCGCGAAAUCGACCAGUUUCUUCUCCAUGGUAAUUCUGGUGGCGACACUAGCUGCAUUCGGCGCGCAGUCCCGUCCUCAAAGGCGGGACCAUGUCCAGCAAUGGAACAACCAGAACAUAACAAAGGCGAUAUAGAAGACGUCUGAUAGCCUCGC
This 7874-nucleotide long non-coding RNA is filed under the name Triticum aestivum (bread wheat). RNAcentral describes it as "long non-coding RNA (TAES_LNC007677)". The record is from RNAcentral. Lineage: Eukaryota; Viridiplantae; Streptophyta; Magnoliopsida; Poales; Poaceae.